ACAAACUACUUUUAGACAUCACAAUCAUAGAAGAAGAAGAUCGAAGCAUAGAUAUCUAGCGCAUGCGAUCAUCAUCGUCACCGACUCCUCUUUUCAUAUAAUGCAGCAAAUUGAGCUCGAUUGAUCAAUGCAUAUGUCAAUUUCUAUCCUGUGAAACGAAGUCUAUUCACC
Long non-coding RNA from Ipomoea nil (Japanese morning glory), 171 nucleotides. RefSeq lists it as uncharacterized. The transcript has 3 exons. Lineage: Eukaryota; Viridiplantae; Streptophyta; Magnoliopsida; Solanales; Convolvulaceae. The record is from RefSeq and is a predicted model, not a curated record.